GUGCCUGUGGCUCAGUGAGUAGGGCACUGGCCCCAUAUACCAGAGGUGGUGAGUUCAAACCUGGCCCUGGCCCA
Molecule: non-coding RNA, 74 nt
Organism: Otolemur garnettii (small-eared galago)
Lineage: Eukaryota; Metazoa; Chordata; Mammalia; Primates; Galagidae
Source: Rfam